ACUGAACACUGCAGCCAUGUUUAAGGUAACCCACUAGAGUAUUUAUCAACUUAGAAGACGAUAUAAACCUGUCCUUAAACAAGAAGCUCACUAAUUUCAUUAGUGACAAUUGAAUAUGCUUUGUAAAAAGUAAAAAAAGUAUAUAUAUAUAUAUACACACACACACGCACGCACGCACGCACACACAUAUAUAUAUAGAUCCAUAAGUACAUCAAGGAUAAGGCCCCGACAGAUGACGUGCUGAGUGAAUGUCUCAGGCAGUGGAGAACAGAGGAUGAGAUGCUGGAAGAGGGACCAUCAUGGGAGGACAAGCCCUUGCACGGGAUGUACCACCGGAACAUAACUGAAGUGGUUGAUCUCAACAAAUCCUACCAAUGGCUUGAAAGGGCUGGGCUGAAGGACAGCACAGAGGCACUCAUCCUGGCUGCACAGGAGCAGGCCCUGAGCACCAGAGCCAUAGAGGCCCAGAUCUACCACACCAGACAAGACCCAAGGUGUAGACUGUGCAAAGAGGCCCCAGAGACGGUCCAGCACAUAACUGCAGGGUGUAAGAUGCUGGCAGGGAAAGCAUACAUGGAACGCCAUAACCAAGUGGCUGGCAUAGUAUACAGGAACAUCUGCGCGGAGUAUGGACUGGAAACCCCAAGGUCAAAGUGGGAAACACCUCCCAAGGUGGUAGAGAACGAGCGAGCCAAGAUCCUGUGGGACUUCCAGAUCCAGACUGACAGAAUGGUAAUGGCGAACCAACCAGACAUUGUGGUGGUGGAUAAAGAGCAGAGGAAAGCCGUGGUGGUGGAUGUGGCAAUACCAAGCGAUGGCAACAUCAGGAAAAAGGAACAUGAGAAACUAGAGAAAUACCAAGGGCUCAGAGAAGAAUUGGAGAAGGCUUGGAAGGUGAAGGCCACAGUGGUGCCUGUGGUGAUCGGAGCACUGGGGGCUGUGACCCCCAAACUGGAGGAGUGGCUACAACAGAUCCCUGGAAAAACAUCCGACAUCUCAGUCCAGAAAAGUGCAGUCCUAGGAACAGCAAGGAUACUGCGCAGAACCCUCAAGCUCCCUGGCCUCUGGUAGAGGACCCGAGCUUGGAAAAAGUGGAUGAGACCACCCGCGGAGGGUGAGAAUAGAGUGG
RNAcentral lists this long non-coding RNA (1129 nucleotides) under Betta splendens (Siamese fighting fish). RNAcentral describes it as "lncRNA (ENSBSLG00000020361.1)". The record is from RNAcentral. Lineage: Eukaryota; Metazoa; Chordata; Actinopteri; Anabantiformes; Osphronemidae.